UGGUUGUCGUCACGCUCGUGUCGUGAGAUGUUGGGUUAAGUCCCGCAACGAGCGCAACCCUUGAUCUUAGUUGCCAUCAUUAAGUUGGGCACUCUAAGGUGACUGCCGGUGACAAACCGGAGGAAGGUGGGGAUGACGUCAAAUCAUCAUGCCCCUUAUGACCUGGGCUACACACGUGCUACAAUGGACGGUACAAAGAGCUGCAAGACCGCGAGGUGGAGCUAAUCUCAUAAAACCGUUCUCAGUUCGGAUUGUAGGCUGCAACUCGCCUACAUGAAGCUGGAAUCGCUAGUAAUCGCGGAUCAG
This 306-nucleotide ribosomal RNA is filed under the name Bacillus cereus. RNAcentral describes it as "bacterial SSU rRNA". It matches the Rfam family "Bacterial small subunit ribosomal RNA", at positions 1046 to 1352 of the family's 1533-position model. The record is from RNAcentral. Lineage: Bacteria; Bacillati; Bacillota; Bacilli; Caryophanales; Bacillaceae.